RNAcentral lists this long non-coding RNA (2249 nucleotides) under Homo sapiens (human). Its description in RNAcentral is "HSALNT0407627". Lineage: Eukaryota; Metazoa; Chordata; Mammalia; Primates; Hominidae. The record is from RNAcentral.
GGGAACUCAAAUUUCAACUGCUGGGAUGGGCAAUUGCCCUCUGGCUAGGGCUAAUUUAAAUGUUCCCUCUGUGUGCAGGCGUCAGCUGAGUUCGUUAUUUUGCUUUCUGCUAUGACAGGGCAGCACUGAGUUCAAUGCCUCACUUCAAUUGCUGUGCUUUCCCUCUUCCAAGUAGUCAGAUUCUCUCUCCACACCCCUCAGCCACUGCUAGGGGAUGGGGAGGUGGUGUCAGUGAGUCAAGACUGUUUUUCCUACCUCUUCAGUGCCUCUUUCAGUGAUAUGAAGUUAAAACCAGCUUCAGGAAUUUCUAUGAACGUAUCUUCAAGCUCAUUGGUUCUUUACCCAACCAUGUCCAGUCUACUGAUGAGUGAAUCAAAGGGAUUCUUCAUUCCUGUUGCAGUAUUUCUGAUAUCCAGCAUUUCCUUUUUAUUUUCCUAGGGUUUUCAUGUCUCUGCUUACAUUACCAUGUGUUGUCCUUAUAUGUGGUGCACUCUAUCCAUUAGUGCCCACAGCAUAUUAAUCAUGGGUUUUUAAAUUCUUGGUUUGACCCAUUAAAAAAUUGGCAAAGGACAUGAACAGAUACUUCUGAAAAGAAGACAUACAUGUAGACAACAAGCAUACGAAAAAAAUGCUUAACAUCACUGAUCAUUAGAGAAAUGGAAAUCAAAACCACAAUGAGAUACCAUCUUACACCAGUCAGAAUGGCUAUUAUUAAAUAGUUAAAAAAAAACAACAACAACAGAUGCUGGCAAGGUUGUGGAGAAAAGGGAACGCUUAUACACUGUUGGUGGGAGUGUAAAUUAGUACAACCAUUGUGGAAGACAGUGUGGCAAUUCCUCAAAGAUCUAAAAACAGAAAUACCGUUUGACCCAGCAAACUCAUUACUGGGUAUAUACCCAAAGGAAUGUAAGUCGUUCUACCAUAAAGACUCAUGCACAUGUAUGUUCAUUGCAGCACAAUUCACAAUAGCAAAGACAUGGAAUCAACCUAAAUGCUCAUCAAUAGUGGACUGGAUAAAGAAAAUGUGGUACAUAUACACCAUGAAAUACUAUGCAGCCAUAAAAAAGAAUGAAAUCCUGUCCUUUGCAGGAACAGGGAUGGGAACUGGAGGCAAUCAUCCUAAGUGAAUUAAUGCAAGAGCAGAAAACCAAUGCUACAUAUUCUCACUUAUCAGUGGGAGCUAAACAUUGAACACACAUGUACACAAAGAAGGGGACAAGAGACACUGGGGCCUACUUGAGGGUGGAAGUUCGGAGAAGAGUGAAGAUUGAAAAAUGAUGUAUUACAUACUGUGCUUAUUACCUGGGUGACAAAAUAAUCUGUACACCAAAAACCUGCAAUACUAAAUUUACCCAUGUAACAAACCUGCUCAUGUAUCCACUGAACCUAAAAUAAAAGUUGGAAAAAAAAUUUCAAUCAAAAAUAAAAUUGUUUGAUAAUUUCGACAUAUCUGACAUAUUGAAGUCUGGCUGUGAUGUUUGUUUACUCUCUUCAGACAGUGUUUUUCUCCUUUUAGCAUGCCUUCUCAUUUUAGGUUGAAAGCCAGACGUGAUGUAUCAGGUAAAAGGAAAUAAACUAAAAGGCAUUUAGUGUGGGGUUUUAAGUUUAUCUGGCUAUGAGUUAGGUAAUGUUUCUUGUUUGGGGCAGUUUUAGUUGUCAGAGGCUAAAACUACUAUUUUUUUGACAGGGUCUUGCUGUGUUGCCCCAGCUUGAGAGCAGUGGUGUGAUCUUGGUUCACUGCAAGCUCCACUCGCUGGGCUCAAGCCAUUUUCCAAAUGCAGCCUCCUGAGUAGCUGGGACUACAGGUGCGCACCACCACACCUGGCUAAUUUUUGUAUUUUUAGUAGAGACAGGGUUUUGCCAUGUUGCCCAGGCUGGUCUCAAACUCCUGGGCUCAAGUGAUCCACCUACCUCAGCUCCCCUUCUAGUGUCUGUAUUUUUGUUGCUUCUGUUGUCUUUGGUUUUCCCUAGGAACAUUUUCUUCAAUAGGGUUUGGGCUUGUAGUUCUAUCAGCUGUAACUUUCCGUUAUUGCCGAGGAGCCCAGUUGAUGUGGUGAUAAUGUGUGGAGUGAGAGGAAGCAUUCUAUACUCUUAUGAGGAGGUCUCAAUCUUUUAGUGAAUUGGUGUCCCUGAGAUAGAAACUUCACAAGGACUUCUGAGAUUUUUACCCCUCCUCAGUGAGACAAGAAGGCUAGAAAGGGCUGGAUUUGGGGAGAUCCCUCCCCCUACACUGGGGCUGGGGAGCUGGC